RNA transcript from Candoia aspera, 1929 nucleotides. It is a transcript of the gene named dermatopontin, with no coding region annotated. The record is from RefSeq and is a predicted model, not a curated record. Lineage: Eukaryota; Metazoa; Chordata; Lepidosauria; Squamata; Candoiidae. The transcript is spliced from 5 exons.
GGAAUCCAAAUGUUAGACAUGGUUAUAAAAAAGCCAGCACAACAACGCCAGUUGGGAUUUUUAUAGCCAGAAGCUCAACAACAUGGAGCUUUUUCUUCUCUGCAUGUUCCUGCCACUAUUCACAGUGGCAUGGGGCCAAUACGGGGACUUUUAUCAUUCCUAUGAUGACUACAGGGGUAAUGAUGACUGGGUUAAUGUGUACCGGCAGGGUUUCAGCUUCCAGUGCCCUCAUGGGCAAGUGAUAGUGGCUGUGAGGAGCACAUUCAGCAAGAAAGAAGGGUCUGACAGAUUGUGGAACUAUGCCUGCAUGCCUACCCCAGAUACGCUUGGAGAGCUUUCUGAAUGUUGGUGGGAAGAGAUCAACAGAGCUGGACUGCAAUGGUAUCAAACAUGUUCAAAUAAUGGGUUGGUGGCAGGAUUCCAAAGCCAAUAUUUUCCAUCUGUGCUUGAUCGAGAGUGGCAGUUUUAUUGUUGCCGGUACAGUCGGAGAUGUCCAUACUCAUGUUGGAUGACAUCAGAACAUCCAGAACACUAUGGAGAAGAUAUGGACAUGAUGAUGUACACCUACGAUCAUUAUAUCCGCGGAGCAACCACAACUUUCUCUGGCGUAGAAAGAGAUCGUCAGUGGAAAUUUAUUGUCUGCAGGAUGACGGAUUUUGAUUGUCAAUUUCAAAAUGCUUAGAAGUACUGAAUAUAUACUACAUUCUAGAGUGUGGGUGGGAAAUAAAGAAAAGGGUGAAAAGAAAAAAAGCUAGGAAAGUUAAUUUAGCAAUAAUGCACCAACCUCUUUGCAGGGGUUUGACUCUUGUACUCAAAAAGGCUGGUAAGUACAAUAUUGAGUUCAACUUUAAUUUCUGCAGGUGAAUUCAUACAGCUCUUAAUUAGAGAUAGAUAUGCUGCCUCCAUUCUCAUAAUCUCUGCAGAGCCUGUGUGCAGAGUACUUGAAUUUCCAUUGCUUUCCAGCCCAUUCACAUGCCUGGUCAGUUGCAGCUGCAGGAUUAGGAUUAGUAUGGGAGUAUGCAUGGCCAGUCUCUCUUCCCAUAAUAGCGGAGCUUUUACCCUAUAUUGGUCACUUCUCACAUAUGUCACUACUAUGAACUGGGCGAAGGGGUAGUUGCUGGGUGGGGGGUGAUCUUUAGUAAAACUGCAGAUCAUUCUCCUGAUAUAUUUUUUUAACAGUUAAAUGCUUACUCAUUUAAACUUGGAUGAAGUUACUUCCUUUAUCUUGGAUGAAGUUACUUCCUUGUUAUCUAGCUCCUCUGUACAAUUCAGCUUGGUUUUGCAUAGCAAUUUUACAUACACUCCACCCUCUUACCUGCAAAAGAGCAACCCACCCACCCCAAUUUGUGCUUUGCUGAUACUUAUUCACACUACUCUACUGCUGAGAUUAGCAAAAAACUUUGCAAACACAUAUCAAUAUUAUAUCAUAUUCAUGUUAAUAGCAAGGCUGGUUGGCAGCAGUCACCUCUAAGAUUGUUCACUUACUUUGUUAAUUGUUUGGGUGUUUAGACUUCAAGUGGAAUAGAUUUAAGUACAUUCUGAAGGCCAUAAUAUCUCCAUGUUAAAUGGUAUCAGAUUACUUUUGUUAAAUGUUAUGUAUCAGUGUUGCUUCUCUUGUAAUUAGGGGCCAUAAUGAAUGCUAGAAUACCAGAUUUCUAAAGUCUCAUGGAAAAGAGCAAUGGCAAUCGUAUGACCGUGUAUAAAAAUUGAUUAUAUACCAGUGGCUUUUGCACUGUAGCUCAAAUGUGGGAUAUAAUUUUAUUGAACAGUAUUUAAGGUUUGACUAUGAAGCCAGUCACAAAGAAGAAUAACUACAAAAGGCACUUACUUAAGAAUCAAAUAUCAACAAAUAAACUGCAAUUUAUUCUAAAUGCCUGUAUCAUUCAAGUAUAUUAUGAAUUAUUAUAAUUAAAUGAAGAAAUAAAAUUA